CCUACGGGGGGCAGCAGUGGGGAAUAUUGCGCAAUGGGCGCAAGCCUGACGCAGCGACGCCGCGUGAGGGAUGAAGGUCUUCGGAUCGUAAACCUCUGUCAGCAGGGAAGAACGCUCAGUGUGCUAAUCAGCCGUGAAUUGACGGUACCUGCAAAGGAAGCACCGGCUAACUCCGUGCCAGCAGCCGCGGUAAUACGGAGGGUGCGAGCGUUAAUCGGAAUUACUGGGCGUAAAGCGCUCGUAGGCGGUAUGUCAAGUCAAGGGUGAAAUCCCCGGGCUCAACGUGGGAACUGCCUUUGAAACUGGCAGACUAGAGUGUGGGAGAGGGUGGUGGAAUUCCAGGUGUAGGAGUGAAAUCCGUAGAGAUCUGGAGGAACACCAGUGGCGAAGGCGACUAUCUGGCACAUAACUGACGCUGAGGAGCGAAAGCGUGGGUAGCAAACAGGAUUAGAUACCCUUGUAGUC
Molecule: ribosomal RNA, 465 nt
Filed under: uncultured bacterium
Lineage: Bacteria
Description: partial 16S ribosomal RNA
Rfam family: Bacterial small subunit ribosomal RNA
Source: RNAcentral